AACGAACGCUGGCGGCGCGCUUAACACAUGCAAGUCGAACGAGAAGGCGUAGCAAUACGCUUGUACAGUGGCGAACGGGUGAGUAAUACGUGGGCGACCUACCCUCGAGUGGGGAAUAACCCGCCGAAAGGCGGGCUAAUGCCGCGUACGCUUCCAUCUUUAUUGGAGGUGGAAGGAAAGCCGUGCCGUGGGCACGGCGCUCAAGGAUGGGCUCACGUCCUAUCAGCUUGUUGGUAGGGAACGGCCUACCAAGGCUCCGACGGGUAGCUGGUCUGAGAGGACGAUCAGCCACACUGGCACUGCGACACGGGCCAGACUCCUACGGGAGGCAGCAGUGAGGAAUAUUGCGCAAUGGGCG
This 358-nucleotide ribosomal RNA is filed under the name uncultured bacterium. Its description in RNAcentral is "bacterial SSU rRNA". It matches the Rfam family "Bacterial small subunit ribosomal RNA", at positions 29 to 377 of the family's 1533-position model. The record is from RNAcentral.